This 1408-nucleotide ribosomal RNA is filed under the name metagenome. RNAcentral describes it as "bacterial LSU rRNA". It matches the Rfam family "Bacterial large subunit ribosomal RNA", at positions 1497 to 2925 of the family's 2925-position model. The record is from RNAcentral.
UACGGAAAGCCGCGUGCAAGCGAAGGAGGAGUCACAUAGGAAAAACCGUGUGGCAAUCCAGAGGCGUGAUGCGGACCGAACUAAAGUAGGGAAGUGUGUGAGCCAUGAAUCAAGAAAAGCCGCUAUUGUUUUUAAGAUACCCGUACCGUAAACCGACACAGGUGGAUGAGGAGAGAAUCCUAAGGCCGGCGGAAGAAGCAUUGUUAAGGAACUCGGCAAAAUGACCCCGUAACUUCGGGAGAAGGGGUGCCAACGAGAGUUGGCCGCAGAGAAUAGGCUCAAGCAACUGUUUAGCAAAAACACAGGUCUAUGCAAAACCGUAAGGUGAGGUAUAUGGGCUGACGCCUACCCGGUGCUGGAAGGUUAAGAGGAGAGGUUAGCGCAAGCGAAGCUUUGAAUUUAAGCCCCAGUAAACGGCGGCCGUAACUAUAACGGUCCUAAGGUAGCGAAAUUCCUUGUCGGGUAAGUUCCGACCCGCACGAGAGGCGUAAUGAUUUGAGCGCUGUCUCGACAAUGCAUCCGGUGAAAUUGAAGUACCAGUGAAGAUGCUGGUUACCCGCGCCAGGACGGAAAGACCCCAUGGAGCUUUACUCCAGUUUGGUACUGGGGUCCGGCAGUGCAUGUACAGGAUAGGUGGGAGGCUGUGAACCUGGAACGCCAGUUUCAGGGGAGCCAUUGUUGGGAUACCACCCUUGUGCUGCUGGGCUUCUAACCAGCGGCCUUUAUCAGGCCGGGGGACAAUGCCAGACGGGGAGUUUGACUGGGGCGGUCCCCUCCGAAAGGGUAUCGGAGGCGCUCAAAGGUUCCCUCAGAAUGGUCGGAAACCAUUCGAAGAGUGCAAAGGCAGAAGGGAGCUUGACUGCGACACCGACGGGUGGAGCAGGUACGAAAGUAGGACUUAGUGAUCCGGUGGUAUUAAGUGGGAAUGCCAUCGCUCAACGGAUAAAAGCUACCCUGGGAUAACAGGCUUAUCACUCCCAAGAGUUCACAUCGACGGAGUGGUUUGGCACCUCGAUGUCGGCUCAUCGCAUCCUGGGGCUGUAGUAGGUCCCAAGGGUUGGGCUGUUCGCCCAUUAAAGCGGUACGCGAGCUGGGUUCAGAACGUCGUGAGACAGUUCGGUCCCUAUCCGGCGUGGGCGUAGGAUAUUUGAGAGGAGCUGUCCUUAGUACGAGAGGACCGGGAUGGACUGACCUCUGGUGUACCGGUUGAACCGCCAGGUUCACGGCCGGGUAGCCAAGUCGGGAAGGGAUAAACGCUGAAGGCAUCUAAGCGUGAAGCCCCCCUCAAGAUGAGAUAUCCCAUUCGAAAGAAGUAAGACCCCUUGAAGACGACGAGGUAGAUAGGGCAGGGGUGGAAGUGCCGUAAGGCAUGGAGCUGACUGUUACUAAUCGGUCGAGGGCUUGACCG